RNAcentral lists this ribosomal RNA (589 nucleotides) under uncultured bacterium. RNAcentral's name for it is "bacterial SSU rRNA". It matches the Rfam family "Bacterial small subunit ribosomal RNA", at positions 31 to 596 of the family's 1533-position model. The record is from RNAcentral.
GAACGCUGGCGGCGUGCCUAACACAUGCAAGUCGAGCGCGAAAGUUCCCUUCGGGGGGCGAGUAGAGCGGCGGACGGGUGAGUAACGCGUGAGCAACCUGCCCCUUAGCCCGGGAUAACACCGGGAAACCGGUGCUAAUCCCGGAUGAGCUCUUUUUAUUGCAUAGUAAAAAGAGCAAAGGAGGCCUCUCUAAAGAAGCUUCCGCUAAGGGAUGGGCUCGCGUCCCAUUAGCUAGUUGGUGAGGUAACGGCUCACCAAGGCGACGAUGGGUAGCCGGCCUGAGAGGGUGAUCGGCCACACUGGGACUGAGACACGGCCCAGACUCCUACGGGAGGCAGCAGUGGGGAAUAUUGGGCAAUGGGGGAAACCCUGACCCAGCAACGCCGCGUGAGCGAAGAAGGCCUUCGGGUCGUAAAGCUCUGUCAUCGGGGAAGAAGUCUUUAGUCUUAAUAGGGCUAGAGGUGACGGUACCCGAGGAGGAAGCCACGGCUAACUACGUGCCAGCAGCCGCGGUAAUACGUAGGUGGCGAGCGUUGUCCGGAAUCACUGGGCGUAAAGGGCGCGUAGGCGGUCUGGCAAGUCAGGAGUG